ACGGUGGAGGACCGGAGGGGGUGGAGGAGGAGGAGACGAGGACAGUGGCGGAGGGAGAUGACGAAGAACAGGAAUGACAGUGAAGACGAAGACGAUGACUUGCUCUACUUCUGUCGGCAGAAUCCUAUUGUCCCAUCGUCAUCAGCGUCUUCAUCCAAGCACCACCAGGGUGGAAGAGGAGGAGGAGGAGGAGGAGGAAGCGGCGGUCUCGCCCCCUCGAAGUCCACGGUCUACGUGAGCAACCUGGACUACAGCCUCACCAAUUCCGACAUCCACACCAUCUUCUCCACUUUCGGCAAGGUCGCCAAGGUCACCGUUCUCAAAGACAGGGUCUCCCGCCAGAGCAAAGGCGUUGCCUUCGUCCUCUUCGUCUCGAGGUCCGAUGCCCUCAACGCUGCCCAGCAGAUGCAAGGGAAGGUCCUGAAUGGAAGAACCCUAACCGCCUCCAUCGCCGUCGAUAACGGCCGGGCCACGGAGUUCAUCCGUCGGAAGGUGUAUAAGGACAAGAGCCGGUGUUACGAGUGCGGGGACGCCGGCCACCUGUCAUACGAGUGCCCCAAGAAUCAGUUGGGCCCGAGGGAACGUCCACCGCCGUCCAAAAAGGGUCGUCGUGGUUCCCAGAUGGAGAAGGGAGGGGGGAGGUUAGGAUGGGACUCCGACGACGGAGAAACCGCGGAGGACCCUGGAUUCGAGGACGACAAUUGGGCGUCCGUCGUUGAUCCGAGGGGAGCUGAUGAGAGGACGACUUCUUUCGAGAAGAAGGUGACCAAAGCCGCUAAGAAAUCCAGCUAUUUCAGCGACGAAAGUGGUGAUGAUGACUAGCAUUUCAUGUGGCGUAAGAACAAGGCCCUGAAUUUGCUUGCUUAUGAGCGUUGAGGAACUUAUCACGUGGCUGCAAAUUUAUGACUAUGCACUUCCAAGGAGGGUCAAUAUAAAUACAUUCAACCGCUUUACUGGAAUGUUGGAAUGCGCUGGCACCUUUAUUCGUGUGGUACGUAGAUUGUACUGUUGUUCAUUGGGAACGGUGGAAUGUGAGAGAACUGUACCUUCAAGAACAUGAACAGCGAUUGGCAACUGAUGUUUCAUUUUUAUGCCUUCUGUCUCUUGAAGAAGACUGCCUAUGGAAUCCAAGGCAUUCACUGUCGUGUUAGCAUCGCAACUGCCGACACCACAAUCCACAUCUAGAUGCCUUCUAAAUGAGGUGAUAUUUAUUAAAUUCCCUGCUAAAUUAGUGGCUCUUCCAACAGUUCCAGCUUCAGGGGCCGUCUCAGGUGGCUAUCCGGUUUAAAAGCUGCAUUGAAGCAUUGUUAAGAGUGGAAGUGAGGGAACACCUGAGCCAGCAGAACUGCAAGAGAGGACACCUGGACAUGGAGAGUUCGUCAAAUCCGUGGAUGCAGCGGAUUCUUUACCGCCAUCUGUAUUUGCUUGUUGAUCGGAUAAAAAUAUGAGGGGACUACACCUGUUAUAGCCACUCGAGGUGGUUGUGUACAAUUCCGUCGGAAUUAAUGUCCUACAGUUGUGGGUGGAUUCUCUCUCUCUCUCUGCCUGUUUGUGUGCGGAUUUUUUUUUGUCCCGGUUAUUUUUCAAUGGACUUCUGAUUGUCAAACUCUGUAAUUACAAAAUAGAACAUCAUCAUCUUCAAAUACCUUUGACAGAGGCCAGGAAAAUACAUCAAUUAGCCUCCUCAUAA
Molecule: RNA transcript, 1690 nt
Organism: Nymphaea colorata (pocket water lily)
Lineage: Eukaryota; Viridiplantae; Streptophyta; Magnoliopsida; Nymphaeales; Nymphaeaceae
Gene name: U11/U12 small nuclear ribonucleoprotein 31 kDa protein
Exons: 3
Source: RefSeq, a predicted model, not a curated record